RNAcentral lists this ribosomal RNA (256 nucleotides) under uncultured bacterium. RNAcentral's name for it is "partial 16S ribosomal RNA". It matches the Rfam family "Bacterial small subunit ribosomal RNA", at positions 1066 to 1320 of the family's 1533-position model. The record is from RNAcentral.
CGUGAGAUGUUGGGUUAAGUCCCGCAACGAGCGCAACCCCUAUCCUUUGUUGCCAGCACGCAAUGGUGGGAACUCAAAGGAGACUGCCGCGGACAACGCGGAGGAAGGCGGGGAUUGACGUCAAGUCAUCAUGCCCCUUAUGUCCUGGGCUACACACGUACUACAAUGGGAUGGACAGAGAGCAGCGAAGCCGCGAGGCCAAGCGAACCCCAUAAACCAUCUCCCAGUUCGGAUUGCAGGCUGCAACCCGCCUGCA